GACGAACGCUGGCGGCGUGCUUAACACAUGCAAGUCGAACGGUAAGGCCCUUCGGGGUACACGAGUGGCGAACGGGUGAGUAACACGUGGGUAAUCUGCCCUGCACAUCGGGAUAAGCCUGGGAAACUGGGUCUAAUACCGAAUAGGACCACAGGACACAUGUCCUGUGGUGGAAAGCUUUUGCGGUGUGGGAUGGGCCCGCGGCCUAUCAGCUUGUUGGUGGGGUGAUGGCCUACCAAGGCGACGACGGGUAGCCGGCCUGAGAGGGUGUCCGGCCACACUGGGACUGAGAUACGGCCCAGACUCCUACGGGAGGCAGCAGUGGGGAAUAUUGCACAAUGGGCGAAAGCCUGAUGCAGCGACGCCGCGUGGGGGAUGACGGCCUUCGGGUUGUAAACCUCUUUCACCAUCGACGAAGGUCCGGGUUUUCUCGGGCUGACGGUAGGUGGAGAAGAAGCACUGGCCAACUACGUG
RNAcentral lists this ribosomal RNA (474 nucleotides) under uncultured bacterium. Its description in RNAcentral is "partial 16S ribosomal RNA". It matches the Rfam family "Bacterial small subunit ribosomal RNA", at positions 28 to 507 of the family's 1533-position model. The record is from RNAcentral.